AUUCGGUAAGGCAGUCACAAGGAAUGAAGUAAUUGAGACAUUGAGAGAGGUUACAGAAACUGGGGCAUUGCCAGAGAAGUUGAUUGGAAGCGAGGAUGCUGAUUCUCUGAAAGAUAGAGACGUUUCUAGUCCAAAAGAUAGGCAGUUGGAACAAAUCACAAUGGUCCGGACUGAAGAACAGGAAGGCGUCCAAUGUGAUUAUGAUGGAAGAAGUCAGGUGGAAAGAACUGUGGUUAUGCCUGAGAUAAUGACGAAAAAAGGGAGUGAUGCAGGACCUGUGGGGAAG
RNAcentral lists this unclassified non-coding RNA (286 nucleotides) under Hevea brasiliensis (rubber tree). The record is from RNAcentral. Lineage: Eukaryota; Viridiplantae; Streptophyta; Magnoliopsida; Malpighiales; Euphorbiaceae.